Long non-coding RNA from Gasterosteus aculeatus aculeatus (three-spined stickleback), 4842 nucleotides. NCBI's taxonomy places the organism in Eukaryota, Metazoa, Chordata, Actinopteri, Perciformes, Gasterosteidae. The record is from Ensembl.
AGUGCCUCUCUCCAUUAUUAAUUAAAGUAGAAGACAAUUGGACAGAGUUGGACAAGUCUCCUGGAAGUGUGUACUACCCUGACAGUGUCCUAAAAUCAAGCACACACGAAAAUACAGCACGUUUUUCCGUGAUAUUAUUUGAAAUGAUGAUCAUGUGCACAGAAGACCAGCACGACUUUAAUGAAACAACAGCAACACGCUGUCAAAAUCUGUUGUGCUGCGCUUAGUUCUUUACAUUUGUCUCUGUCCCUCUUCCACGCCCGCUUGUCUGGGGGCGGCUUGCUGAUUUUUUCCAGUUGGUCAGUGUGGCUCUCUGGCAGACGCCUGUAUUGUAGACGGGAAGUUACUCCAACAAAGAGGCUCGUUCAGCUACUUUUCUUGUGAAACUGCCUGGUGUUUUAUAAAAAAAUCUUCCAUUUUCAUUUUUCAAUGUGUUGGGAGUGUUUAGCUUUUUUAUGUGUCACGUUCAGGAAAAUUUUGAUUACCAAAGUCGUCAGGUUGACUCAAAAAUGGGAACAUUGCUGUUGCAUAGUUGGUACCAGAGCCCUUUGACUCAUCACGACUCAAACCAGUCUAUUUUUCCCAUAUUAGAUGAAUUACCUAAUUACCUAUAAAUACAACAAUGGUUUUCAUCUCUAACCUUAGCAACAGAAAACAGCAAAGUCAAUAAUAACAACAAAACAUGUUUAUCAGACGACUAAAGGAAUUCACCAAUUGAAUCCGUUAAGCAUUUUAUGGGCUGUGUGGUCUAAAUGUUUUAGGCCUUGAAGUACAUUUAUUUAAUAGCCUUAACGACAAUGAAUGGCAAAGUCAUUUUGAACAUCAAUCAAUUAAUAGUUAGCUGAUAAUAACGGCUCCCUUGUAUUCAUCAUAAGUACCUUCAUUGAAAUAGGGGUAAAGGCAGGAUUGGAAAGUCCAGUUAAACAAUCAGCCAGGCUUCUUUUUUUAAGCAAGAUUGACUUUCAUGUUUCACGUUCUUUCCAAGUGCUUUAUCUGAAAGAGUUUAGGCUGAAGGAAGGAUGACUAUUCCCUGUUGUGGUCCAGCGAAUAGAUGGUUGCCAGUAGCAUGACCACAUCCAUCUCGACCAAUGGAAGGAAUGAACCAAACACCCACGAUUCUGAUUCAUACGCAAUUGUGCCUUAUCACCACAAAAAAGGAAGGCCUGAUGUGUUUACAGUCUUUCUUUUAGUCUGUUCUUUGCCCCUGCAGGAAGGAAAUACGAUUGUCUGUUAAACAAAAACAUGUCAAGGAGCUUCGCCAUCACAGCUGAAUUUGCCAUAAUGUCAACAAGAUGUGGAAGGAUAACAACAGAGUCUCUCAGAAUCAGAGUUGUUAUCUCUGAUGUGGCUGACCUUCGGUUGAAGAUGCAAGAAGAUCUCCAUCUUGACGUCUGCUGACCUUAAGUUAAGGAGGUGCUUUUCCGAUCAUGUCUUUCAGCGAACGCAGAGUCGCAGCUACAGAAAAGUCGGCCUUUGCCGAAACGAUGGGCUGCAGCGGUCUCUGCAGAACGUGCCGAGGAGUUCUGCAAUUGAACAUAGUUUGGAUAUUUGCCACCGGCAUGUGACAUGCAACACUGAAGACAGGUGGUGACCAGGUAACUGCACAGGAACAUUUAGUUAUUUACCAAAUAAAAAGUGGCAGCGGCAAACUGAGCUCUACUGUACUCGCUAAGCCUGUUUGAGAAAUAGAAUGGCAGCUGCGUCACACUGUAAGUGUGGUAGUUAGCCGGAGGCACAGCCCUGUAAUCAUAGGCGUCAACUGUGUAAGGCAAGGCAAGGCAAGGCAAGGCAGUUGCCCCAGCUUGGAAUAGUUUUUGUUCUAAUUAGAUAAAAAUAAGAAACUCAUUUUACAUAAAGUGGCCUGAAAUGAAUUAUUUGUGCUCCAGAAACCUUCCCUGGGUAAAUGGUAGCCGACUGUUAUUGCACGUUUUGAGUGUGUGUGACUGCGUUUGAGAAGUCAAUGUCACACAGAAGACAAAUCAGAGCCUAGUUGAUGAUGAUUUUCCAAGGUGUGUUCUGAAAGCUUUUUUGCCCAACUGUUGUAGAGAAGUGCCAACAAUGAUCGUAGGUGUUUCAAUUAUUACAACCAUAAUGUCGGCUUGCAUGGUCACGUCCAAGUCAUCUCCUUUGAAGACUUUGAGCCAAAACGACCUGUUUUGAACGACCUUCUGCACAUUAGCAUAUAAUUCAAUGUAUUUCUUUAUUUUCCGUGAAGUCCGAACAGAUGACUAAUGAUCAACCUCCACCAAAAUACAUAUGGUGAACAUUAGGCAUUGUAAAUGUGGAGACCCGAUUUGAAAAGCACAGCAUCACCUUCAUGUCACGUCACGUUGCCAUGCCUCGGCUUAUGCUGAAACAACCAUGUUAGGAGUUUUCAUUCUACUGGCCACUGAAGACUGCAGUAUUAAUUCAGCCCUUUUAUAAAGAGCAGCACCUAUAAUGUAGAAUGCCGUCAUCUUGAUUAGGUGUUUAUUUAAAUACGUGCCAGUUUCAGCGCAAAGAGAUGCCGAAAUGAGUCCCGGAGCCCUCACAGAACUGACGACGCCUGUGAUUACCGUGCAGGCAGCCCAUCGUGUGGUUUUGUGGCCACAGUGUUAUUAUAAAACACUGCGCAUGUUGACAGUAACAAUGAAGAUAAUUUUGAUCAAACAUAUCGUGUGUUCACACAUUUGAAAGCGAUGGCGCUUGUAUCUGCACAGGGAUUUAACCACAUCUUUUAAAUGAAGGUAUUUACAUGUACAAUGUUGCCUAGGAGACGCAAACACACACAUUGCGGCUCAUAUUAGACUCUUCGGUGGGUGAGGUGCGCUAUCUGUCACUUUCUUUGGAUCACGCCCGAAGCAACCGGACCAAAAAAACAUUAUCAUGAGCUGACUCACUGUGUCUUCACAAAAGUCGCCGAAAUAAAGGAAGGCGUGGCACCGGCGUAGACAAACCCAUGGACGUGUUACUCCACCCAAAGUCUCUUUCUCAAACAUUCAGCCUUGUGCAGACAUGAACGGUGGCAGCCUUGUGACGAGCUGGAUUUAAAGUGACGAGUCACCAGAAACGCAAGGGUUUUAACCCUAAUUUAACCUUUAACAUCCAUGGGAAUGACUGAAGGGGUUAAUGGGUGUCUCACUCCGUCUUCUUCACAAAACUGUGAAUCUUUGGAACUAGACUUUGGAGACUUUGUAGGAAUAGUCCUUGCACCAUGGGGAGCAUCUUGAAAAUGGCCUUUGUCAUUGUGUCCACGCAGGGAUUCUCAUAGCCGAAUGAUUCAAAUAAGAUGGUUUCCGUACUGUUAGAAAUCCACCACGGUGCCAAACGCUGUAUUUAUUAUCAGGUUUAAAGCCUCUUUCCUGGUGCCAUUGAAGAUGAAAGAGGGAGACCUUAAUGCAACAUGGUCAUUAAUACUUCCUCGGUGAGGUCAUUCUUUUAUUAAUAUCAAUGUUUUGACACGUUAAGUUCCCCAACCUUCACAAACUUAACACUCCCAACUCUACUAUUUGUCUCUGCAGUCUGCCUGUCUAAGUUGGUUUAAUUAUACACAUAGUUAAAUGAAGAUGCAUUCAUUUCACAUGUACACUAUAAACUGAGGUCUACUUUUAAUUUCCUUAGUAUGCACUGCUAAUGAUCACAGAGCACCAUGAGGUUAUCAUCAUGAUUUUAAACUUAUUUUUGACAGAAAUAAUAUCUCUUAUUUAUAGGCCAACAGAACUUUGAAAAAAACGUUUGAAAUAUUGAGUGGAUUUCUCUAAGGUUAGGCAUAUAAAAGCUGUGUCAGCGCACGCACACACACACACACACACACACACACACACACACACACACAGUCUGCCAUCUCAGUAGAAACUCGCUGGAAAAAAAGACAACUAAGCAAAGCUUGAGGGGGAAAGAGAGAUUACAGAAUAACUUAAACUGCCGAUCACAACAAGCCAACGACUUUCGACGUAACAGGAGACAUGUGUGUGGCGCUCUGCAAGAAAACGUCAGAUGUCACGGCUACUAGUUGGCAAAGUGUCCCGGAGGAAUGAAAGCCAGUGAAGUCUUGUCUUCGGGCUUUUUACACUGCUGCAGUUUAAUCCGUCCCCUUUCUUUUGAUGCCCAAGUGGCUUUUGAAAAGGCCUUGGAGAUGUUUAAAUAUCAAGGAUUUAAAGGGGGUUGCAGCCAAGACAUACGUUUCUAUUUAAAUCCCAGCAGGGAGGCGGGCACACAUGGCUGCUGCUGGUCGUCUGAGUCCUCUUUGCGCGACAUUUGUUCCCCCAUUAUAUUUUAAAAAAAUAUAUCUUUUUUUCACCUUCAGUCCAUAAAAUCUGCUUUAACUGGUCGUGGCGACAGUGUGAACUGGUCAAUGAACACGGUGGAGCAAACAGGAGGCGUUCAGUGUCUUCGAGCUCAACUAAAGGCACUCACCAUCCCGCAAGGUGCAGCGGAUUAAGCGCUGAGCUUUUCUGCUGGUCAGUCCUGCAGAGCCGGUGGUGGGUUGAAUAUCUGCUGACUAAUGGUGGUUAGUGGUGACACGCUGGCUCCCAAACAGCUAGUGAGUCAUAGGCUGUACAAUGGAACAUUUAGCCAGAUUACUCUAUUCCUGGAAUAUGAUGUCUUCAAUGACCCUAUUUGUUGCUGCUCAGUGUCUGGUUUUCAUAUUUGUCAUUUCUUUAAUGGAUGUCUUAAAGGUUUUUCUCUCAGUGAGUGCUGAAUAAACAAACUUUUUUGUUGUAGUACAAACUUCUCAAACGCAGAGCUCAAUUUGGAGUUGUAAAUCCCUGACCUGCGUUAAUUAACAACAUUAUUAAAUAUAGACGUCCCCUCGGAAAAUACACAAAAAAGUUCAAAUCUAGAUGGACACAGACAAAACUU